GGCCCCAUGGUCUAGCGGUUCAGGACAUCACUCUUUCAAGGUGAAGAUAUGGGUUCAACUCCCAUUGGGGCCA
This 73-nucleotide transfer RNA is filed under the name Caldifarciminota bacterium JGI_Cruoil_03_51_56. RNAcentral describes it as "tRNA-Glu". It matches the Rfam family "tRNA". From Rfam's summary of the family: Transfer RNA (tRNA) molecules are approximately 80 nucleotides in length. Their secondary structure includes four short double-helical elements and three loops (D, anti-codon, and T loops). The record is from RNAcentral. Lineage: Bacteria; Pseudomonadati; Caldifarciminota.